Molecule: long non-coding RNA, 11093 nt
Organism: Tripterygium wilfordii
Lineage: Eukaryota; Viridiplantae; Streptophyta; Magnoliopsida; Celastrales; Celastraceae
Exons: 14
Source: RefSeq, a predicted model, not a curated record
UGCUUCAUAUCAUGGUGGAUGGCCUUCGGUUCGAACCGAUACAUAACUAAGGAUGGCAAGUGACGCUGGGGGAAGACCAAAUAGUUGGAACGGUUUCGACUAAGAUCCAACACUUCUAAGGAAGAAUCCAACAAAAAGGAAGCGAUCGGGUGAAUUGAAAGGGGAAAAAUUUAUGUUACCUGACUUCUGCAUUAAUCUGUGUUGUUUUUAUGCUCGUUUGAGUGUUUCAAUUUUUUUUUCUCGCUCGGAUUGUUGUGUUAGGGUUAUUAUCAUACAUCGUCUUCAGUUUUCACGUUGUCUUUCCAUUAUUAGUUGAUACUAAAGAUGUCCCUUUUCAGCCUUUUCAGUGUCUGCUAUUCUCACAUCACCUAAUUGGUAACUAGGAUCCAUUUGGACUGACAGUAUGUUAUGUUGUUCGUAUGGAUGUAAAUUUACAUGUGCCUGCUAUUUCAUAACGGUGCUUCAAUGAGAAUCACUGCCAAUUCUGGGCAAAACCCUGGUAAAGGGGAUUAUUAAUCUCAUGGCCAUUUUACGUUGCUACUAAAGAUGCCCCUUUUGUGAUUGCUGUAAUCACAUCAGAUGAUUGAUGAUGAGGAUCCUUUUUCGAUUGAAAUUUUGUUCUCUCAGUAGUAUGGAUGUAAAUUCUCACUGACAAUUCUGGGCAAACCUUGGGAAAGAGAAUUAUUAAUCUCAUGGUCAUUCUACGUUGCUACUAAAGGUGCCCCAAAUCAUAUGAUUGAUGAUGAGGAUCCUUUUUGGACUGAAAUUAUGUUCUCUUGGUCAUAUGGAUGUUAAUUUACAUGUGCUACUAUUUCCCUUUGAUUUAAUUUAUUCUCUUGUCGCAAGACCCUGAGGAUAUAUAUAUGUAUAGAAACAAAUAUCCAUGAUCCUUUGUAGCAGUUUCACAAGGGAGCUUCUUUUGAAGCAGGAGAUGAUAAUGUUGCCGUGCCAUAGGUUGUCUUGGUGAAAGAACAAUUUGGUCUGAUUGUUUCACAUUGUUUCGACAAUUUUACAUGCGAUCAUGAUGAGCAUCAAUGGAUCCAAUCCUCAGUCCUGCACUCCAGACAGCGAUGGAAUGGUUCAUCUGGCUAUAUAUAUGGCAUUUGAAGCAAAGCAAGAUAGAAAGAACAUUGAAUGGGAGUUUGCAUAUAAGGAAACUAUUUAGGAAAAAGGUAUACUUUUCCUUAUUUGCCCUUGGUUGUUCAGAUAAAGGAAACCUUGGUAUAACGGUAUAAACCACCCUUCAAGGUAACUAUUUAGGAAAAAGUUAUUACUUUUCCUUGUUUGCCCUUGGUUGCCCUUUGUUGUUCAGAUAAAGGAAACUAUUGCACUAUUUUUUAGACCCGUUGCGAAGUCUCUAUAAAAAGACGGCUCUCAGACUAAACUCUUGCGCACGAAAUCCCGCAUGGACUCGCGGCAGAAACCGUCGCAGCUUUGAAAGGAGAGAGAUGAGCAACGCAAAGAUGGUGACCAAUAGGUUUACGAUGUCGUUGGUAGUCGGUUUCUCACUGAUCGCCGCGUAGUUUGCGGUCGUCGUCAGGUUUCACAAUGCCGUUGGUUAUCGGUUUCUUGAUUGCCUUCUCAGGACUGGGUUUACUCUGCACUCGGUAAUCGGUUUCUUGAUCGCUUCUCGGGUCUGGUACUCUCUUACUCAUUCUUGUGUGGCUUUACCCUUUUUUUCCGGUUUAACAUGCCGUGCGGUUGCUUGUACGUAUAAUGUUAAGUAUCAUGCUAUUGAUUUACAUAUGAUUUUACAGUUUAUUUCAUCCAUAUUUCAUGGAAGGUUACGUGAAUCCAUCACAAACUAGAGUGAAAACUAUUUCAGUUUGGGUCCACAUAUCUCCAAUCAAUCUUGACAGAUUGUUUAAUCACUAAGGCUUUGGCAUCAGAAUGCAUGUAUUGAAAGUUGCUGUAACACUAUAGUUUUCGCCCUUGAAAUGAAUUUAUUGGUUAUAUUGUGAGCAGAGGAGCCUAUAAGAGUAAAAGGGCAAGUCCACUAAACAAUAAAAAGAUUAUCAGAAUGCAUGCAUUGAAAGCAGCAAAGCAUCGGAAGUUAAAUAUUUUGCCCUUGAAAGUUGAAACCAGUUUAUUGGUUAUAUUGUGACAAGAGAAGCCUAGAAAAUCAAAUGGGCAAAGUAUUAAACGAGCCACUAAACCAUAUAAGAGAUUGUCUGAAUGCAUGCAUUGAAAGUUAAAUAUUUUACCCUUGGAAGUUGAAACCAAUUUAUUGGUAAUAGUGACAAGAGGAGCCUAUAAAAGGGCGAAAUAUUUAACGAGUCCGCUAAACCAUGUAAGAGAUUGUCCUAAUGCAUGCAUUGAAAGCGGCAAUGCAUUGAAAGUUAAAUAUUUUGCCCUUGAAACCAAUUUAUUGGUUAUAUUGUGACAAGAGGAGCUUAUAAAAGCAAAUGGAAAAAUAUUUAACAAGUCCACUAAACCAUAUAAGAGAUUGUUCGAAUGCAUGCAUUGAAAGUGGCAAUGCAUUGGAAGUAAAAUAUUUUACCCUUGAAACCAAUAUAUUGGUUAUAUUGUGACAAGAGUAGCCUAUAAAAGCAAAAGGGUAAAAUAUCUAAUGAGUCCACUAAACCGUAUAGGAAAUUGUCCGAAUGCAUGCAUUGAAAGCAGCAAUGCAUUGGAAGUUGAAUAUUUUGCCCUUGAAACCAAUUUAUUGGUUAUAUUUUGACAAGAGGAGCCUAUAAGAGCAAAAGGGAAAAAUAUUUGUUGGAAUCGAGCUUCAUGUUACAUUGCACAAUUAUGAUCUCCCACGGAUACUCGAAGAUGAAUAUGGAGAAUGGGUUAAUUGAAAGAUUGUGUAUGGCUCUAAUAAUUUGUUGGAUUGACUUAUUUUUUGAUUCUGGGCUACAUUUCUUGAAAUGACCAGAAAACAUGUGGACUACCACUGAGUAUUAUGGAUAUGAAUGCAGGAAAGACUUCACAGCCUAUGCUGAUGUGUGCUCCAGAGAGUUUGGCGAUAGAAUUUCUUAUUGGACAACAGUUAAUGAUUCCAAUAUCUUUUCUUUAUCUGGAUAUGACUUAGGAGGUAUAGGACCUGGGAGGUGUUCUUCUAAAGUAUUGGGUAUUAACUUAUCCUAUAAAUUUAUCUUGUUGACAUGGUUGACGAGUAUAUUUUUUUUGUUUUCCCAUCACUUACUCUUUAAAUGCCAAUGCCAAUAUUGGCUCUAUAGUUUUUGGAACACAUGCAGAAUUUUAUGACGAGAGUUAUUAUCUAACGAAAUGUUUAUGGUAACGAGAGCAAUAUAUAAUUGGCGAUACAGGGCAAGCAGCAUGGAUUUAUAGGGAUAUAUGUCCUUUCUUUGAAAUAUAUCCCUGCAACAAACUCAACAGAGGAUGUGAAUGCAAUUCAAAGAGCCUAUGAGUUCUUCGUUGGUUGGUGAGUUGUUUUUGGCGGUUCUUUCAUAUAUAUCAACUAUCUACACAUGUAUGCCUACAAUUUUCUUUGUCGGGCUAUUGAUUAUAUUGUAUUAGUCGUCGACACCGGUUUUAUUUUGUUGAAAAAUUUUCAUGAUGGAGAACCUACAUGUGAUUUUCUCCAUUGUUUUUUUCACCUUGGAUUGACGUACUUGAGCCAUUGGGUCAAUAAGUGUGUGUCUUUCUCAAGGCAAAAAGAUUGAUGAGGCAUUCCUCUUGUGGCUCUAAGUUCUCGAAAAUGGUUUUAUACCAGAUGCAACUAUCUACAACAUUUUGAUACAUGGGCUUUGCUCUGUGGGCAAAGUUAGAAGAUGCUCUGUUACUCUAUUUUAACAUGAUCAGCAGAGUUGUGUCCCAAAUCUUGUGACCCACAACACCAUCAUGGAAGGGCUUCACAAAGCCAAAGAUGGUAAAAACGCAUUGGAGAUUUGGCACCGGAUUUUGGUGAAUGGUUUGCGACUUGAUAUUAUCUCCUACAAUGUCACUUUCAAGGGGCUUUGUUCUUGCAAUAAAAUGUCUGAUGUUGUAAGGUUUUUGAAUGAUGCUUUGCAUCAUGGUCGUGGAAGUCUUCCGACUUCCAUUACAUGGAACAUACUUGUCAGGGCUGCGCUUAACAAUGAGCUUGAUAAUUCUUUUGUGUCUAGUGGUGGGGAAGUAAGUUUUUCUUUGUUUAGGCUUACACUAUCAUCUUAAACAUUAUUUGAUCCAAUCCUAAAAGAAAAGUUACUGAGAAUAGAUAUCCAAUGAUGAACAAUUUUCAGCUUUUCUGAGGGAUUUCAGUAUUCUGAAAUAGCAUGCUGCACUGAAAGAAUGAGUGCGGUAAGAAGUCAGAAUUUGGGAGUUGCUAAGAUCCUCUUAGAUACCUGGAUUUGCCGUUUUCUUUAUCCAUUCAACAAGAUUACAGGAAUCACAUGCUUUUCAGGGGUGUUUUCAAAACUUCAAGCGGUCCCGGUUGUGGAGGACAAUCAAUGACGGGAACCGCAGGAACAUUGAUCUGAAUUGUGAAUAGUGUCUUUUGUGCGUGCAAUGAGACCUGGAAUCUGCACUCUGCAUUCUGUUUGAGGCGGGUCUUCUGGGGAUUCCAUUACGAUGGGGACCCAAUUGUUUGAGCUUAUGUCUGAGAAUGGACAUGUCUAUGGAGCAUGGACUGAUUUGCCAUUAUUCACUUAAUCUGGGUGCUUCGGAAUGGGUAUUCGUUUUCUUUUCGUGGUCUUUUAAUCUACAUUCAUGUUGUUUGUUUGAGGGCUUCGAAACUGGAAACUUUUCUAGGUAUAUCUGCCUUUUGUGCUUCUAUAUACUAUUAUCUUACUGUGUUUAUCGUUAUUUAGAUGAUAUGUUAUUAUUGGGUUUGAGUUCUCAUGAACAAUUAUUUGGCUCAAUUUCAAUGAUGGUGUUGAGAGUUUCUUUCUGAACUCUAGAGUUUUGCUGUCUGAUUUCCAUAUCUUGAGGCACAUUGUUUAACUGUGGGAGAGAAUAGCGAACAUGUACGUCUCUGUUUCCAUUUAUUUAUUUUAUCUCACAAUGAAUAAGGAUUCAAUCUUCUUUUUUUCCACUUCAUAUCCCAGUUAAGAACAUUUGAAUGUGAUAAUCUCAGUUCAUAAUGACAGCUCUUAGAAUAGAUGCAUAUGAGGAGAUUGUCAGUAGAUGCAUAUAGUGCAGAUGAGCCUGCAUGAACUAUGAUGCACAAUAACUUAAAAGUUAAGUGAGGAUAAGUGGGAAAAAAAAAAAGUGUCUUGGCUGCUGGGGUUUGGAAAAAUGAUGAAACGUCUUAUGGAGACUACUUGACAAGUGCACAAUUGCUCCUUGCCUGUGAAAAUUGUCCAAGUACUGGUAAUAAACAAAAAAUUUGAACUGGUUUAUUCUAGAAUUUGAAAUUCUUUGAACUGGUGUAUCUUUGUGGUUUGUUGAAGCCUUGGGGAAAUGGUGGCAGCAUUUCACUAUUACAUGGCCCAUUGCUUAGCGCCUUGGCUCAAUCUAUCGUGAAACUAGUUAGGAAGUUACAAGGAAAACUAUGGGAAUAUUUUCUCACUAUAUUUUUAUUGCGGCAGACUUUCGAUGUUUUUCCUGUACUAUGAGCUCUAAAGCCAAGAUAUUUACUUUCUUGACUCCUGUAUAAAACUCACCACAGCAUUAAGUAUUAACUACUAGCCUGACUCUGCUUCAAGUAGAUGGCUAUGCUGCUGGGAUGGGAUCAUGCCUUGAAGAGAUAAGAGGAUGGCCCCACCACAGCAGCAUAGCGAUUCUCGCUGCUUCAUGCAUACUAAUAUGCUGUUGAGUUAUUUAUUCCUUUUCUGAUAUGAUCUUUUGAUGAAUGCUCCAUUAGAUGUCAAAUAUAAAAUAUUUUAUCUUCUGAUUUGUUGGGUGAUUACAAUAUCACCCAACAAUAUCAUGCUGCUUCUGAUUUGUUGGGUAACUUGUAAUGCAUUUUGUUCUACUGUGGUGUGUGGACUCUGUAAGUUAUAGUGCAUGCUGUAAUUGGCUCAUUGCGAAUCAAUCAAAUUGUCCCUCAAUAUCUGUCAACGGCCAGGUUACUAUGUUCCUCUCAAAUGAUGUGCUUCCACUUUCUCUUUCAUUUUUGGAUGGAGUAAGUGUUGUUUCUGAUGGAGUCGAACUGGGAUUGAACUUGUCAGCGCUUUCUCUUGGCCACUUCUCUCUAUAUCUUAUACUGAUGGAGAAGGGUGACAUGUUUUGUAAAUAGUGGCAUCACACGACGAUCCAAAUAAUUGAUUUCUCCAAGUUUCUCAUGUAAUAAUUCACCGUUUGUCUUUAUUCUUGAGGAUGGGAGCACUACUGGAAAAGAUGUAUGCGCAUAGGCUUGAAUUUGUUUUGAUUAGAGCUAUCAACACAAUGUUUUCAACAGUAUUCACACCCACAUAUUGUGAGUUUAAAGAUCCAUUCCUUGUGAUUUUGGCCAUUUUAGCAUGAUACUGCAUAUAAUAUUGUCAAGCAAUAUAAUACCUAUUGUUCAGGUAGUUGGAAAUCCUUUUGUUUAUAUUUACGCAAUGCUUUUCUCUGUUGCUGUGGUUAAAUAUGGUCGAUUGAUAUGUAAAUAUUCAUGUUGAAGUUUGUGAUUUUGAUUAACUUUCUGGUUCUACGGUCAAAGACAGGAUGUUCAUACCAACGCUCGCAUGCAAAUCGUCCCGUUGAGACAGACGUUAUAGUUUUAAAGUUAAAAAGAAUAAUAGCAAUGGCAGCAUCCUUGGACAGAGAUAUUUGAAUCCUUGAAGAGCACUAGUGAUUACAUGGACAUUGUGGGCUUGUAUCUCUCUUUAGAAAACUAAGUGGUGGAGAUGUAGCAUGUGAUGGUUACCACAAAUACAAAGAAGAUACAGGGUUAGAGGUCUCCAGAUUUUAUAUUUCUUGGUCAAGGCUUAUGCCGAAUGGUCGGGGACGCAAAGGGUUUACAGUAUUACAACAACCUCGCCAAUGAACUUGUAGGGAUGGUUAAGCCCCAAUCUCCAAUUAAAUGGAAAUGGUUGCUUUUUAUUGAUAUAAUGGAGGGAAUGUUUACUCCAACCUAGUAAAAGUACUUUCAAAAUCCAAGCAAAGUAUGCCUUCAAUUCCCUCUUACUGUUCAAUUGAUUUUAUGUUGUAUAUUGAUUUUGUAGGAAUUGAACCUCAUGUUACAUUGGACCAUCAUGAUCUCCAACAGAUGCUUGAGGAUGAAUAUGGAGGAUGGGUUAAUCGAAAGAUUGUGUAUGGCUUUAAUAAUUUGUUGGAUUGACUUAUGUUUUAAUUCUGGGCUAGAAAUGACCAGAAAACAUGUGGACUACCACUGAGUAUUAUGGUUAUGAAUGCAGGAAAGACUUCAGAGUUUGACAAUAGAAUUUCUUAUUAGAUAACAGUUAAUGAGCCCAAUAUAUUUUCUUUAUCUGGAUAUGACUUAGGAGGUAUAGGUGCGAGGUGUUCUUCUCCAUUUGGAACGAACUGCUCCAAAGGCAACUCCUCAACUGAGCCGUACUUGGUGGUGCAUCAUAUUUUGUUGGCACAUGCAUCAGCUGCAAGAUUGUACCGAAACAAGUAUCAGCAUGGAUUUAUAGGGAUAUCUGUCCUUUUUUGAAAUAUAUCCCUGCAACAAACUCAACAGAGGAUGCGAAUGCAAUUCAAAGAGCCUAUGAGUUCUUCAUUGGUUGAUAGUGAGCGAGGGAUGGAGGAACCUACAUGUGAUUUUCUCCAUUGUUUUUCACCUUGGAUUGACGUACUUAAGCCAUUGGGUCCACAAAUGUUUUGUCUUUGUCAAGACAAAAAGAUUGAUGAGGCACUCCUCUUGUGGCACCAAGUUCUCGAAAAGGGUUUUAUACCAGAUGUAACAUUUUGAUACAUGGACUUUGCUCUGUGGGCAAAGUUGAACAUGCUUUGUUACUCUAUUUUAACAAGGAUCAGCGGAGUUGUGUUCCAAAUCUUGUGACCCACAACACCAUCAUGGAAGGGCUUCACGAAGCCAAAGACAGUAAAAAGGCAUUGGAGAUUUGGCACUGGAUUUUGGUGAAUGGUUUGCGACCAUAUAUCAUCUCCUACAAUGUCACUUUCAAGGGGCUUUGUUCUUGCAAUAAAAUGUCAGAUGUCGUGUAAGGUUCUUGAAUCAUGCUUUGCAUCGUGGUCUUGGAAUUCUUCCGACUUUCAUUACGUGGAACAUACUUGUCUGGGCCGCGUUUAACAAUGAGCUUGAUAGUUCUUUUGUUCUAGUGGCUGGGAAGUAAGUUUUUAUUUGUUUCAAGUUUACACUAUCAUCUUAAACAUGAUUUGAUCCAAUCUGAAAAGAAAAGUUACUGAGGAUAGAUAUCCAAUGAUGAACAAUUUUCAGCUUUUUUGAGGGAUUUCAGUAUUCUGCAAUAGCACGCUGCUUUGACAGUUUGACUGCGGCUAUAAUUCUGGGGUUGCUAAGAUCCUCUUAAAGACCUGGAGUUGCCGCUUUCUGUAUCCAUUUGACAAGAUUACAGGAAAAACAGUUUGACAAAGCUGGCUUUAUAUAUGGCAUUUGAAGCUAAUCAAGACAAAGAACAUUGAAUGGGAGUUUGCAUGUAAGCUAUCUUGCAGAAACACCAGUAGUUGCAUGUGAAGAGGUCACCAAAGUAGAAGAAAUAUAUGAACCCAGUGCUUCCUCCCAUGGUCCAGCUCCACGUUCAAGUUUGAUGUUAAUUAGUAGAGAGCACAGGGCAGGGCCUGCAUGAGGGCAUUGGAGAGGAAUGGGAGUUUUUUAAGUAUUUGGUGAGGUCAUCCUAAUGUUUGCUUUGGUUGGUGGCUUGGAAACUAAUGCUUUUCUCCUUUCACUGGGGAAAUUUAACCUCUAUAAAAGCUACUAAAUACAGUCCGGUUGGUAAAAGGGAAAAAAACAUUACCCCUUUUUGAGACAUUGAUCCAACUGUCAAAUGCUAAUGGUUUGACAACAGAUGAGACUUAUGCGGAGUAGAAGCAAGAAAAAGCAUUCAGAAAAUCCCCUUUGAAUUCAAAGUCAUUGGCGAAGAGGCUCUUGAGAAUGUACUACGACUGGGCCAGCAUUUGCCGCUUUUUACGGUGCCCUUUCACGAUGCUCUCGGCAUGGUUUUGCCGAAGGAUAUUUGUGUGCCUGAUCCUUUCUCUCCUUACCCGGCUUUAGUCAAGAUUGUUCUCCUUUGAUGGAGUGGUGAUCAAAUUGGUAGAAUAAAAAUUUGUGCACAGCAGGAUGGUUAUGCAGUUGUUGCUUCCAAUGGACCCAUACUAAAUCAAGAUCUGGAAACAGAUGCUAGUCAAAUAGGUCAAGCAGCAUGGAUUUAUAGGGAUAUCUGUCCUUUUUCUGAAAUAUAUCCCUGCAACAAACUCAACAGUGGAUGUGAAUGCAAUUCAAAGAUCCUAUGAUUUCUUCGUUGGUUGGUAGUGAGGGAGGGAUGGAGAACCUACAUGUGAUUUUCGCCGUUGUUUUUUCACCUUGAAUUGACGUACUUAAGCCAUUGGGUCCAUAAGUGUGUGUCUUUGUCAAGGCAAAAAGAUUUUGUGGCACCAAGUUCUCGAAAAGGGUUUUAUACCAGAGGUAACUAUAUACAACAUUUUGAUACAUGGGCUUUGCUCUAUGGCCAAAGUUGAAGAUGCUUUGUUACUCUAUUUUAACAUGGAUCAGUGGAGUUGUGUUCCAAAUCUUGUGACCUACAACACCAUCAUGGAAGGGCUUCACAAAGGCAAAGACAGUAAAAAGGCAUUGGAGAUUUGGCACCGGAUUUUGGUGAAUGGUUUGCAACCAGAUAUUAUCUCCUAUAAUGUCACUUUCAAGGGGUUUUGUUCUUGCAAUAAAAUGUCAGAUGUCGUAAGGUUCUUGAAUGAUGCUUUGCAUUGUAGUCGUGGAAUUCUUCCGACUUCCAUUACAUAGAACAUACUUGUCAGGGCUGCGCUUUACAAUGAGCUUGAUAGUUCUUUUGUGUCUGGGGGGAAGUAAGUUUUUCUUUGUUUAAGCUUACACGAUCGUCAUAAACAUGAUUUGAUCCAAUCUGAAAAGAAAAGUGACAGAGGAUAGAUAUCCAAUGAUGAACAAUUUUCCAGCUUUUCUGAGGGAUUUCAGUAUUCUGCAAUAGCACGCUGCAUUGAAAGAAUGACUGCGGCUAGAAUUUGGGAGUUGCUAAGAUCCUCUUAAAGACCUGGAGUUGCCUUUUUCUGUAUCUAUUCAGAAAGAUUACAGGUAACACAGUUGGAGCUUUAAUGGUCAGACAAGCUUCUGAUUCGAGGCCUAGGCAAAUAUGUGGAGCAGUAGUAGAGCCUAAAUGUCACAUAUUCAAUUUCGGAACACAGUAUGCAGGGUGAGGUUUCUAGACUAUGUUCACUGCAGGAAUCUUGUGCGCAUUUCCCUUCUUCAAGACGUUUUUGUGGCUGCGAAGAUACAGUUGUUGUUCCAAUACGUGCAGGUUGGAAGGCUACAUACCCUGGUGAGUCUACGAGAGCCUAUUUAAUCUCUAGUACCUUUUGAAGUCCAAACACUUAGGCCGAUUGUUUCGUGUACUAAGCAUGUCUAUGCUUUUGAUGAUGUAUAUUUGUAUUUAAAUUGAGCUCUGGAAGGACCCUACCAUCUCUGUGUGGCCGCUCAAAGUGUUCAGCACGAAUUAAUUUCACAGGACGAAGUUUCAGUCAAGAACUUGAUGAGGUAUCCUCUUUUGAUGAUCCGAUAUUGCAAUCGUAACUGGUAAGGCAAUGUGGUUGGAUGAGACGAAUUUUCUACCAUUGCAGUUAUGGGCCGUGAUGCAUCAGGGAUCGUCCCCUUCGCCUCUCGCCGAUUCAUUGACCAUCACCGAUCCCACAGCGGAUUGUUGAGGCAGCGAUCAAGAAUCCUAAUUUGAUUCCCAUUGGAUGAUUAAUUCAUUGGACUUGCUCACGGCAUAACCAAACGGGUCAAAGCCUUUAAAAUUGUGGGCCGAGUCCCAAUUCAGUCUUAUUUUUCACAAGCCCGAUAUAAAUACUUGGGCUUUGAUCCUCAGUUAGACUCCCAUGGACAUUAGAAAAUUCAAGCCCAAAUAUUAGGCAUACUUUACAUAUUGAGCCCAGUUUUCGAAUUGUGUAAAUGUGUAAUACAGUGACUUGGGCAGGCCGAAUAAAGUACCUAUCUACUACGUAUCAAGGGGUGGAUACAACUACUCCAAGUCUCCAUCCUUAAUUAUAAAAGGAAUUCGUGCCAUUAUAUAUAAUAGUGUUUUGUAUACAUACGAAAA